UUCUGAGGAGGAAAGCGGGGGACCUUCGGGCCUCGCGCUCAAGGGGCGGCCGAUGGCGGAUUAGGUAGUUGGUGGGGUAAAGGCNUACCAAGCCGACGAUCCGUAGCUGGUCUGAGAGGACGACCAGCCACACUGGGACUGAGACACGGCCCAGACUCCUACGGGAGGCAGCAGUGGGGAAUUUUGGACAAUGGGGGCAACCCUGAUCCAGCAAUGCCGCGUGUGUGAAGAAGGCCUUCGGGUUGUAAAGCACUUUUGUCCGGAAAGAAAUCAUCGGGGCCAAUACCCCUGGUGGAUGACGGUACCAGAAGAAUAA
This 316-nucleotide ribosomal RNA is filed under the name uncultured bacterium. Its description in RNAcentral is "bacterial SSU rRNA". It matches the Rfam family "Bacterial small subunit ribosomal RNA", at positions 192 to 489 of the family's 1533-position model. The record is from RNAcentral.